RNAcentral lists this ribosomal RNA (496 nucleotides) under uncultured bacterium. RNAcentral's name for it is "partial 16S ribosomal RNA". It matches the Rfam family "Bacterial small subunit ribosomal RNA", at positions 28 to 506 of the family's 1533-position model. The record is from RNAcentral.
GAUGAACGCUGGCGGCGUGCCUAAUACAUGCAAGUCGAGCGAACAGACGAGGAGCUUGCUCCUCUGACGUUAGCGGCGGACGGGUGAGUAACACGUGGAUAACCUACCUAUAAGACUGGGAUAACUUCGGGAAACCGGAGCUAAUACCGGAUAAUAUAUUGAACCGCAUGGUUCAAUAGUGAAAGACGGUUUUGCUGUCACUUAUAGAUGGAUCCGCGCCGCAUUAGCUAGUUGGUAAGGUAACGGCUUACCAAGGCAACGAUGCGUAGCCGACCUGAGAGGGUGAUCGGCCACACCGGAACUGAGACACGGUCCAGACUCCUACGGGAGGCAGCAGUAGGGAAUCUUCCGCAGUGGGCGAAAGCUUGACGGAGCAACGCCGCGUGAGUGAUGAAGGUCUUCGGAUCGUAAAACUCUGUUAUUAGGGAAGAACAAAUGUGUAAGUAACUAUGCACGUCUUGACGGUACCUAAUCAGAAAGCCACGGCUAACUACGU